CCGAAGUGUGCAGCGUCUCUAGACCUGUGGCUCCAGACUGUUUACCCAGGGGCCAAGAUUACUUUAUCUGCAAGAGGCCUUAUACUCACAGGUUCCCCAAAUACAACUCAGCCACAACAUCCUAAUCGGACAACUUGUCAAUCAACAUGGAACAGUACCCUGAAAAUCACGACCAUCUAAUGAACUGUUUAACUGUGCCAAGCGUGACCCUUUAGAGAAAGGGGCUUCCAUGCCGAAGGUCAAAUUGUGGCCGUUGUUCAGUGUCAAGCGGAAUCCUAGCAACCAAGCCACGUCAGCACAGCAGCAAAAACAGUUUCAGCAGCAGUCGUAUAGUAAACAUCAACAACAGUGUGCAUAUGCAUUAAAAUACGAGAGGUAUGAAUGCAAAUAUGUC
Dreissena polymorpha is the source of this 394-nucleotide long non-coding RNA. RefSeq lists it as uncharacterized. The record is from RefSeq and is a predicted model, not a curated record. The transcript is spliced from 4 exons. NCBI's taxonomy places the organism in Eukaryota, Metazoa, Mollusca, Bivalvia, Myida, Dreissenidae.